Molecule: long non-coding RNA, 171 nt
Organism: Musa acuminata AAA Group (dessert banana)
Lineage: Eukaryota; Viridiplantae; Streptophyta; Magnoliopsida; Zingiberales; Musaceae
Exons: 2
Source: RefSeq, a predicted model, not a curated record
GUCGGAAAGCAGCGCAUCCAGCUCCUUCUUGGACUCCAAGAACCGGUCCCUGUCGGCUGCGUCAACGAUGUAGGCAACCGCAUCCAUCUGCAGGAUUCAACCAUCGUUACAACCAUGGAGCGACGAGAGCAAUGUAGAGAAAAUAAUGAGAACAACUCGAUUUCAUGUAUA